GGGAAAACAUGGUGUGCAUGGGGUUUCACUAUGAGAGCGAAAGACACUUCAUUAAAAUUUUUGUUGCCCUAAGAUUACUUUUUUUUUUCUUCGGCCGCUGAAAUACAACAUUUUUUUCAUUCUCAUUGAAACUGGCAGGUAAUGGUACCCAAACAAUAUUAAACUGCAGAGAUCGUGUAGUACAAUGUUGUUGCAAAUUGCAACCAAACCAGGUUUGCUUUUAACAAUAACUUUCGUUUACUACCGGUACAAACUUACUGUGACAACUGUACCUUCGUCGUUAUCACCGCUUAAACAAGACCGUCUUAAGCUGUAAUGUUUCAAUAUAUUGAAGUCGAAGUGCUGCCCUUGUGCUCAUUUGACCUGUGUACUCAUGAUUACUUAGUUUGUUUGUAUGAGGUUCCUCUUUUCUGGUGUUCAUUUCUCUGUUCCCUUUAUCGUAACUUCUGUGUUACCUUUAUGAUAACUCUUAACUGCUUGACUAUGUGGUGUGUUGUAGCAUGAUUAUGUAUUCAGAUUUUACAUUAACUAUCAUCAUUAACUAAGUGAUGCAGUACGGAGCCUCCUGUAUGCUCACCUAUCUGU
Dermacentor silvarum is the source of this 585-nucleotide long non-coding RNA. RefSeq lists it as uncharacterized. Lineage: Eukaryota; Metazoa; Arthropoda; Arachnida; Ixodida; Ixodidae. The record is from RefSeq and is a predicted model, not a curated record. The transcript is spliced from 2 exons.